This 246-nucleotide non-coding RNA is filed under the name Allocoprococcus comes. RNAcentral describes it as "Coprococcus comes T-box sequence". It matches the Rfam family "T-box leader". Rfam says of the family: Uncharged tRNA acts as the effector for transcription antitermination of genes in the T-box leader family. Lineage: Bacteria; Bacillati; Bacillota; Clostridia; Lachnospirales; Lachnospiraceae. The record is from RNAcentral.
CAAAAUUCGUUGAUGAGAACAAAGUCGUAUCCGUCAUUAUUUUCAGAGAGCCUGUGGAUGGUGUGAACAGGUAAUAACCGGAUAAGGAUAUCCUCUCUAAGAAGCGGGUCCAAAGCAGAAAAAGUAUCUGCAAGUAGACUUUGCCGGGAUCCACCGUUAUAUGGAUAGCAUAUGUUGGUAUGUGAAGUGCCGCAGAUUAUUAUCUGUGGAAUUAGGGUGGUAACGCGGAUUUUAUUCGUCCCUUUU